UGGCUCUCGCAUCGAUGAAGAACGCAGCGAAAUGCGAUAAGUAAUGUGAAUUGCAGAAUUCAGUGAAUCAUCGAAUCUUUGAACGCACCUUGCGCUCUUUGGUAUUCCGAAGAGCAUGCCUGUUUGAGUGUCUUGAAAUUAUCAACCUCCAAGGUUUUUUUUUUAAAGCUUUGGAUGCGUUGGACUUGGGAGUCUUGUCGGCCGUUCAAGUCGACUCUCCUUAAAUGCAUUAGUGGCUUUCUAUGUCCUUGACCCAAGUAGCGGUGUAAUAAUUAUUAUCACUCGCGAACGCGCUUGGAUUUGCCGCUUCUAACCGUCUUCGGACACUUCAUGAUCUCUUUGACCUCAAAUCAGGUAGGACUACCCGCUGA
Molecule: unclassified non-coding RNA, 371 nt
Filed under: uncultured fungus
Lineage: Eukaryota; Fungi
Description: partial contains 5.8S ribosomal RNA and internal transcribed spacer 2
Rfam family: 5.8S ribosomal RNA (bases 1-133)
Source: RNAcentral